GCGGUAGUAGCUCAGUGGUAGAGCCCCGCCUCGCACGCGGGGAGACCUGGGUUCGUUUCCCGGCUGCUUCC
Molecule: transfer RNA, 71 nt
Organism: Toxocara canis (dog roundworm)
Lineage: Eukaryota; Metazoa; Nematoda; Chromadorea; Rhabditida; Toxocaridae
Rfam family: tRNA
About the family: Transfer RNA (tRNA) molecules are approximately 80 nucleotides in length. Their secondary structure includes four short double-helical elements and three loops (D, anti-codon, and T loops).
Source: Rfam